Molecule: microRNA precursor, 52 nt
Filed under: Camelus bactrianus (Bactrian camel)
Lineage: Eukaryota; Metazoa; Chordata; Mammalia; Artiodactyla; Camelidae
Also listed under: 2 other names
Description: mir-1302 microRNA precursor family
Rfam family: mir-1302 microRNA precursor family
Source: Rfam by way of RNAcentral
GUUUUAGUAUAAGUAUGUCUCAUGCCAUAUUCGGGACAUACUUACACUGAAA